Molecule: ribosomal RNA, 430 nt
Filed under: uncultured bacterium
Lineage: Bacteria
Description: bacterial SSU rRNA
Rfam family: Bacterial small subunit ribosomal RNA
Source: RNAcentral
UAGGGAAUCUUGCGCAAUGGAUGAAAAUCUGACGCAGCGAUGCCGCGUGAGUGAGGAAGGCCUUCGGGUUGUAAAGCUCUGUCCUGAGAGAAAAAUAGCGUAUGUACGAAUAAUAUAUAUGUUUGAUGGUAUCUCAGAAGAAAGCACCGGCUAACUUCGUGCCAGCAGCCGCGGUAAUACGAAGGGUGCAAGCGUUGUUCGGAAUUAUUGGGCGUAAAGGGCGAGUAGGCGGAUAUGAAAGUCAGAUGUGAAAUCUCGAGGCUCAACCUCGAAAUUGCAUCUGAAACUCCAUAACUAGAAUCCCAGAGAGGGAAGGGGAAUUUCGCAUGUAGGAGUAAAAUCCGUAGAUAUGCGAAGGAACACCAGAGGCGAAGGCGCCUUCCUGGAUGGGUAUUGACGCUGAGGCGCGAAAGCGUGGGGAGCAAACAGG